This 322-nucleotide ribosomal RNA is filed under the name Clostridioides difficile. Its description in RNAcentral is "partial 23S ribosomal RNA". It matches the Rfam family "Bacterial large subunit ribosomal RNA", at positions 1 to 322 of the family's 2925-position model. Lineage: Bacteria; Bacillati; Bacillota; Clostridia; Peptostreptococcales; Peptostreptococcaceae. The record is from RNAcentral.
UGGUCAAGUUAUUAAGGGUGCAGGGCGGAUGCCUUGGCACUAGGAGCCGAUGAAGGACGUGAUAAGCUGCGAUAAGCUUCGGGGAGUUGCACGUAAACUUUGAUCCGAAGAUUUCCGAAUGAGGAAACUCACUUAGAGUAAUGUCUAAGUAUCAUUAAGUGAAUACAUAGCUUAAUGAGGGGAACUCAGGGAACGGAAACAUCUAAGUACCUGAAGGAAGAGAAAGAAAUUCGAUUCCGUAAGUAGCGGCGAGCGAACGCGGAUUAGCCCAAACCAAUAAAGUUUUCUUUAUUGGGGUUGCGGACAUAUCAUAACGAAGAGG